This 629-nucleotide ribosomal RNA is filed under the name Debaryomyces hansenii. RNAcentral describes it as "eukaryotic LSU rRNA". The stretch from base 219 to 372 matches the Rfam family "5.8S ribosomal RNA". Lineage: Eukaryota; Fungi; Ascomycota; Pichiomycetes; Serinales; Debaryomycetaceae. The record is from RNAcentral.
ACCUGCGGAAGGAUCAUUACAGUAUUCUUUUUGCCAGCGCUUAAUUGCGCGGCGAAAAAACCUUACACACAGUGUUUUUUGUUAUUACAAGAACUUUUGCUUUGGUCUGGACUAGAAAUAGUUUGGGCCAGAGGUUUACUGAACUAAACUUCAAUAUUUAUAUUGAAUUGUUAUUUAUUUAAUUGUCAAUUUGUUGAUUAAAUUCAAAAAAUCUUCAAAACUUUCAACAACGGAUCUCUUGGUUCUCGCAUCGAUGAAGAACGCAGCGAAAUGCGAUAAGUAAUAUGAAUUGCAGAUUUUCGUGAAUCAUCGAAUCUUUGAACGCACAUUGCGCCCUCUGGUAUUCCAGAGGGCAUGCCUGUUUGAGCGUCAUUUCUCUCUCAAACCUUCGGGUUUGGUAUUGAGUGAUACUCUUAGUCGAACUAGGCGUUUGCUUGAAAUGUAUUGGCAUGAGUGGUACUGGAUAGUGCUAUAUGACUUUCAAUGUAUUAGGUUUAUCCAACUCGUUGAAUAGUUUAAUGGUAUAUUUCUCGGUAUUCUAGGCUCGGCCUUACAAUAUAACAAACAAGUUUGACCUCAAAUCAGGUAGGAUUACCCGCUGAACUUAAGCAUAUCAAUAAGCGGAGGAA